This is a non-coding RNA of Arabis alpina (gray rockcress), 107 nucleotides long. NCBI's taxonomy places the organism in Eukaryota, Viridiplantae, Streptophyta, Magnoliopsida, Brassicales, Brassicaceae. The record is from Rfam.
AGAGCAUCAAUAGGAAUACCACUUUUUUAUCCUUUUAUAUGCUCCCAUGCAUCAUACAAACUCUCUUCUUCGCCUUGCUCAAAUCUAGCUAUAUCGUUUCUGAUCUU